RNAcentral lists this ribosomal RNA (506 nucleotides) under uncultured bacterium. RNAcentral's name for it is "partial 16S ribosomal RNA". It matches the Rfam family "Bacterial small subunit ribosomal RNA", at positions 29 to 523 of the family's 1533-position model. The record is from RNAcentral.
AGUGAACGCUGGCGGUAGGCCUAACACAUGCAAGUCGAACGGCAGCACAGGAGAGCUUGCUCUCUGGGUGGCGAGUGGCGGACGGGUGAGGAAUACAUCGGAAUCUACUCUGUCGUGGGGGAUAACGUAGGGAAACUUACGCUAAUACCGCAUACGACCUACGGGUGAAAGCAGGGGACCUUCGGGCCUUGCGCGAUUGAAUGAGCCGAUGUCGGAUUAGCUAGUUGGCGGGGUAAAGGCCCACCAAGGCGACGAUCCGUAGCUGGUCUGAGAGGGUGGUCGGCCACACGGGAACUGAGAGACGGUCCAGACUCCUACGGGAGGCAGCAGUGGGGAAUAUUGGACAAUGGGCGCAAGCCUGAUCCAGCCAUACCGCGUGAGUGAAGAAGGCCUUCGGGUUGUAAAGCCCCUUUGUUGGGAAAGAAAUCCAGCUGGCUAAUACCCGGUUGGGAUGACGGUACCCAAGGAAUAAGCACCGGCUAACUUCGUGCCAGCAGCCGCCGUAA